Molecule: ribosomal RNA, 429 nt
Filed under: uncultured bacterium
Lineage: Bacteria
Description: bacterial SSU rRNA
Rfam family: Bacterial small subunit ribosomal RNA
Source: RNAcentral
UGGGGAAUAUUGCACAAUGGGCGGAAGCCUGAUGCAGCGACGCCGCGUGAGGGAUGACGGCCUUCGGGUUGUAAACCUCUUUCAGCUCCGACGAAGCGCAAGUGACGGUAGGAGCAGAAGAAGCGCCGGCCAACUACGUGCCAGCAGCCGCGGUAAGACGUAGGGCGCAAGCGUUGUCCGGAUUUAUUGGGCGUAAAGAGCUCGUAGGCGGCUUGUUGCGUCGUCCGUGAAAACCCGCAGCUCAACUGCGGGCUUGCGGACGAUACGGGCAGGCUAGAGUUCGGUAGGGGAGACUGGAAUUCCUGGUGUAGCGGUGAAAUGCGCAGAUAUCAGGAGGAACACCGGUGGCGAAGGCGGGUCUCUGGGCCGAUACUGACGCUGAGGAGCGAAAGCGUGGGGAGCGAACAGGAUUAGAUACCCCGGUAGUCC